AUGGCGGCGCUCCGGCACGCGGGGAGGAGGCUCUGCGAGCGGGCGCUCCAGCGAGGUGGACCGCAGGUUAUUCCGUCUGGCCGCCGUUCCAUGUUCAUCUCCAUCGGUGGCAAGCCUAAACCUACGACUGCGGCGGCUCAGGAGGAGCUGAAAAUGCAGUUCCAGAAAAAGAAAGAAGAGUUGUUCGAUGUGCUGGUGGAGUUGUAA
RNAcentral lists this ribosomal RNA (207 nucleotides) under Triticum aestivum (bread wheat). RNAcentral's name for it is "partial small subunit ribosomal RNA". Lineage: Eukaryota; Viridiplantae; Streptophyta; Magnoliopsida; Poales; Poaceae. The record is from RNAcentral.